This 253-nucleotide ribosomal RNA is filed under the name uncultured bacterium. RNAcentral describes it as "partial 16S ribosomal RNA". It matches the Rfam family "Bacterial small subunit ribosomal RNA", at positions 524 to 776 of the family's 1533-position model. The record is from RNAcentral.
UACGAAGGGGGCUAGCGUUGUUCGGAAUUACUGGGCGUAAAGCGCACGUAGGCGGACAUUUAAGUCAGGGGUGAAAUCCUGGAGCUCAACUCCAGAACUGCCUUUGAUACUGGCGACCUUGAGUCCGGGAGAGGUGAGUGGAACUGCGAGUGUAGAGGUGAAAUUCGUAGAUAUUCGCAAGAACACCAGUGGCGAAGGCGGCUCACUGGCCCGGUACUGACGCUGAGGUGCGAAAGCGUGGGGAGCAAACAGG